This 253-nucleotide ribosomal RNA is filed under the name uncultured bacterium. RNAcentral's name for it is "partial 16S ribosomal RNA". It matches the Rfam family "Bacterial small subunit ribosomal RNA", at positions 524 to 776 of the family's 1533-position model. The record is from RNAcentral.
UACAGAGGGUGCAAGCGUUGUUCGGAAUUAUUGGGCGUAAAGAGCUCGUAGGCGGUUUGUCGCGUCGGCUGUGAAAACUCAGGGCUCAACCCUGAGCCUGCAGCCGAUACGGGCAGGCUGGAGUUCGGUAGGGGAGACUGGAAUUCCUGGUGUAGCGGUGAAAUGCGCAGAUAUCAGGAGGAACACCGAUGGCGAAGGCAGGUCUCUGGGCAUUAACUGACGCUGAGGAGCGAAAGCAUGGGGAGCGAACAGG